Molecule: RNA transcript, 1538 nt
Organism: Tripterygium wilfordii
Lineage: Eukaryota; Viridiplantae; Streptophyta; Magnoliopsida; Celastrales; Celastraceae
Gene name: alpha/beta hydrolase domain-containing protein WAV2-like
Exons: 9
Source: RefSeq, a predicted model, not a curated record
AAUAACGGAGUAUUCAGUGCAAAAAUAGAGGGGGGACCGAGGAGAGGGAAGAAGAGAGAAAAUCAGGGAUGGAGUCGUAUGUGAAAUGGUUGAUCUACGGAGCGGGAGGGAUAGUGGUGGCGGGGAUGGCGUUGUUGGUGGCGUUUCAGGAGAAGCUGGUGUAUGUGCCGGUGUUGCCUGGUCUCUCCAAGUCAUACGCUAUCACACCCGCCCGCCUCCGUCUCCUAUACGAAGACGUCUGGCUCCUAUCCUCAGAUGGCGUCCGCCUCCAUGCUUGGUUUAUCAAGGUCUUCCCCGACUGUCGAGGUCCAACUAUCCUGUUUUUCCAAGAGAAUGCUGGAAAUAUCGCUCACCGCCUUGAAAUGGUUCAUAUAAUGAUACAGAAGUUGCAAUGCAAUGUUUUCAUGCUUUCAUACCGAGGAUAUGGAGCAAGUGAUGGUUAUCCUUCUCAGCAUGGAAUUACCAAGGAUGCUCAGGCUGCGCUGGAUCAUCUUUCUCAGAGGGGUGACAUAGACACAUCUAGAAUACUUAUAUUUGGAAGGUCUCUUGGGGGUGCUGUUGGAUCUAUGCUUGCCAAGAACAACCCUGACAAGGUUGCUGCCCUUAUAUUGGAAAACACUUUCACAUCUGUUCUGGACUUGGCUGGAGUUGUAUUGCCCUUCCUGAAGUGGUUUAUUGGGCACAGUAGUUCAAAAGGUCCUAAAAUUCUUAACUUCCUUGUACGUUCUCCGUGGAGCACAAUUGACAUAAUAGGCCAGGUUAAGCAGCCAAUCCUUUUUCUCUCUGGAUUGCAAGACGAGAUGGUUCCUCCAUCCCAUAUGCAGCUUUUGUAUGCUAAAGCUGCUGCUCACAACAAGAAGUGCAUUUUUGUGGAAUUUCCUAGUGGCAUGCAUAUGGACACUUGGCUUUCUGGUGGUGAUAAUUACUGGAGAACAAUUCAGCAGUUCCUUGAAGAGCAUGUUCCGGAGAAAGACGAAAAAGAAUCAUCUUAAAGGGAUAAAGGGUUGGGCUGCUGUUUUCAGAGUGCCUGGACAAAAUUGUGUCAUUACUCCGUCAAUUCGAUAGAUUUUGUUGUUAUGUCUCAAUAGAUUUUGAAGGAAGAUGAAUGAUUAGGAAUUUACAUUUCAAAUGUUAUUGAUUCACUCACCAGGGACCUCAAAGUCUUUGAACCUUCUUCUUCUUCUUACAUAAAUUGCAGUAGUUAAUAGCUAUAUGUGAAGAGUUGGAGCCUGCUGAGACCAGUUGAUCCCACUUGGGUUCUCUUGAAGAUAAUUUAUUGGUUUUCACAAGCUUCAACGGUCGCCAAAACAUGUGGAUGCCCCACAGGAUAUGGUAUAACGUUUUGACAUAGACGGAAGAUAGAUAAUCUGAGUGCUGACCUGUUGUUAUUGUACGAAAUGUCUGAAAUUGGAAACAUAUACCUAGUCUGGGUCGCUUGUAUAAUUUGUAGUCUAGCUGUUUUAAAGUCAUCUUCCCCAGAUUGUAAAACUUUUGAAUGCCCUAAUUGAUUAGCAAAAUCGCAGUAUGGCUUUGAUGGA